This 432-nucleotide ribosomal RNA is filed under the name uncultured Glomus. RNAcentral describes it as "SSU rRNA". It matches the Rfam family "Eukaryotic small subunit ribosomal RNA", at positions 569 to 1003 of the family's 1831-position model. Lineage: Eukaryota; Fungi; Glomeromycota; Glomeromycetes; Glomerales; Glomeraceae. The record is from RNAcentral.
AGCAGCCGCGGUAAUUCCAGCUCCAAUAGCGUAUAUUAAAGUUGCUGCAGUUAAAAAGCUCGUAGUUGAAUUUCGGGACCAAUAUGUCGGUCGUGCCUCGGUACGUACUGGCAUCGUUGGUUUCUCCCUUCUGACGAACCAUGAUGUCAUUUAUUUGGUGUCGUGGGGAAUCAGGACUGUUACUUGAAAAAUUAGAGUGUUUAAAGCAGGCUCACGCUUGAAUACAUUAGCAUGGAAUAAAUGAAAUAGGACGUUUGAUUCUAUUUUGUUGGUUUCUAGGAUCGACGUAAUGAUUAAUAGGGAUAGUUGGGGGCAUUAGUAUUCAAUUGUCAGAGGUGAAAUUCUUGGAUUUAUUGAAGACUAACUAACUGACGAAAACAUUUGCCAAGGAUGUUUUUCAUUAAUACAAGAACGAAAGUUAGGGGAUCGAAG